GACGGAGGGCGCAAGCGUUGUUCGGAAUUACUGGGCGUAAAGCGCGCGCAGGCGGGAAGGUAAGUCUGGAGUGAAAUUCCGGGGCUCAACUCCGGAGCUGCUUUGGAUACUGUCUUUCUAGGGACCGGUAGAGGCCGGUGGAAUUCCCGGUGUAGCGGUGGAAUGCGUAGAGAUCGGGAAGAACACCCGUGGCGAAGGCGGCCGGCUGGGCCGGAUCCGACGCUGAGGCGCGAAAGCUAGGGGAGCAGACGGG
This 253-nucleotide ribosomal RNA is filed under the name uncultured bacterium. Its description in RNAcentral is "partial 16S ribosomal RNA". It matches the Rfam family "Bacterial small subunit ribosomal RNA", at positions 524 to 776 of the family's 1533-position model. The record is from RNAcentral.